This 557-nucleotide ribosomal RNA is filed under the name uncultured bacterium. RNAcentral describes it as "partial 16S ribosomal RNA". It matches the Rfam family "Bacterial small subunit ribosomal RNA", at positions 355 to 900 of the family's 1533-position model. The record is from RNAcentral.
UAGGGAAUCUUCCACAAUGGACGCAAGUCUGAUGGAGCAACGCCGCGUGAGUGAAGAAGGUCUUCGGAUCGUAAAGCUCUGUUGUUGGUGAAGAAGGAUAGAGGCAGUAACUGGUCUUUAUUUGACGGUAAUCAACCAGAAAGUCACGGCUAACUACGUGCCAGCAGCCGCGGUAAUACGUAGGUGGCAAGCGUUGUCCGGAUUUAUUGGGCGUAAAGCGAGCGCAGGCGGAAUGAUAAGUCUGAUGUGAAAGCCCACGGCUCAACCGUGGAACUGCAUCGGAAACUGUCAUUCUUGAGUGCAGAAGAGGAGAGUGGAACUCCAUGUGUAGCGGUGGAAUGCGUAGAUAUAUGGAAGAACACCAGUGGCGAAGGCGGCUCUCUGGUCUGCAAACUGACGCUGAGGCUCGAAAAGCAUGGGUAGCGAACAGGAUUAGAUACCCUGGUAGUCCAUGCCGUAAAACGAUGAGCGCUAGGUGUUGGGGACUUUCCGGUCCUCAGUGCCGCAGCAAACGCAUUAAGCGCUCCGCCUGGGGAGUACGACCGCAAGGUUGAAGC